UUUUUAGCCUCUACAAGUCACAUGAACAGAAAACUUUACUUAAGAAUUGUCAUUACAUGACUCAAAAUGAGCUCUUAAUGGGUGGCUUGUAGAGGAUGAACUCGCCUUUCACAAGCUUUGAUUUUUUUUCAUUGUUCACCCUGCCGCUACCCAGUUGAGGGACAGUGCCCAUGCCCUCAGGGCUAAUGGUGAUCAUCCAAUGUCCAAAGUGCAUUACUUUGAAUAACUAACUUAAGACAGAAUUGGAACAAUAUUUCCAACAGACUCAUAUUUCAACAUUUUUGGAUUUGGAACUCCAUAUAAAGCAAGCUUUUGUACUGUACCUUCUAGGUAUGGGGCAAUUCUAGUGGAUAUACUGUAAGCUUAUUAUGCAGAUAAAAAUUUCUCUAUUUGCACAAAACCUCAGGAUUAGUGUUGGUAUCAAGAACUUGGGAUUUGUUUGUACGACGGAGGGGUAGGUUAAGGAAACGAGACUAUUCCUUGAGAAAAGUUUUAAGUAGUGAGUGGUACGUCCUCAUUAUAUUGUUUGAUAAAACGUCGAAGGAACCAAAGGGGAAUGAAGGCCACUUCAUACAUCUUAGAGUUGACUAGAAUUUGAAAUAUAUUGAUUAUAGUGCGGGUGCAGAAUACCUUAGGGUUAGUGUUGGUAUCAAGAACUUAGGCUUUGUUCGUAUGAGGGAGGGGUAGGUUGAAGGAAACAAGACUAUUCCUUGAGAGAAGUUACCAGUAGUGAGUGGUGUACCCCUCAUUAUCUUGUUUGAUAAAACGUGGAAGGAACUGAAGGGGAAUGAAAGCAACUUCAUAUUGUUGUUACUACGA
This 819-nucleotide long non-coding RNA is filed under the name Panax ginseng (ginseng). Its description in RNAcentral is "long non-coding RNA (PGIN_LNC003476)". Lineage: Eukaryota; Viridiplantae; Streptophyta; Magnoliopsida; Apiales; Araliaceae. The record is from RNAcentral.